Nycticebus coucang (slow loris) is the source of this 727-nucleotide long non-coding RNA. RefSeq lists it as uncharacterized. The transcript is spliced from 4 exons. Lineage: Eukaryota; Metazoa; Chordata; Mammalia; Primates; Lorisidae. The record is from RefSeq and is a predicted model, not a curated record.
AAUCGCUUUACCUUGCAGAAAUGUGCUGGCAGCAUCCUGUAAAAUCUUUGAGGAAGCUUAUCCAUUGUCAUUAACUUUGGAAGAUUCAUGGAGCUCUAAAAGACAUAAAAAAAAAGAAAUAGGAAGCUCUGCCUUAAAGAAACAAGCAGGAAGAAAAACGAAGGGACACACCAUCAUGGACAGGCUUUGCAGAAAUUUCCAAAGUUAAUAUCUCCCUAAGGAAGGGUGAGUCUUCACAUCUGCUGUCGUAUGGCUACACCAGGAUUUUGAAGGCCCAAGGAACUUCUCACCCCGCAGCAUUUAGACUUUGCUUGUCUGGAGGCAAGAGGCCCCACUAGGGCUGGAGAGCCAGAAGAGCAACCGGCUAUAAUCUUCUGUGUGCAGAGUGGCCUCUGGAGUCCCUUCACCUGGCUGGAGAUUUCAAAAGAUGCUACAAAUGGAGCAGGUGGGUCAUGGAUAAUAAGAUCCCCACCCUCCAGGAGCCUGAAGUGUGGGAAGCAGACCGUCUUGUCUUCCAGCACCUACUGUAGAUGUGCAAAUGACCACGUAUCACUAUGGACGUGACAUACAGAGCAGAUGUUCUGGUACUUGUUACCAUGUUAUCAUGUUAAGCACUUUCAUGUUCACUGAAUGGGUUGCUUGUUCUGUCUGUACCACUUGCUGUGUGCUAUGCUCCUGUCCCCCUUCCCAGCUGUGUUUAUUCUGUGUUCCAAGUCUGGAAUUUCCA